RNAcentral lists this ribosomal RNA (2465 nucleotides) under marine metagenome. Its description in RNAcentral is "bacterial LSU rRNA". It matches the Rfam family "Bacterial large subunit ribosomal RNA", at positions 14 to 2458 of the family's 2925-position model. The record is from RNAcentral.
AGGGUAUAUGGUGGAUAUCUUGGCAGUAAGAGGCGAUGAAGGACGUUUGCUAGGUAGCGAUAAGCCACGACGAGUGAUCAAGCAUGCUUUGACUCGUGGAUUUCCGAAUGGGGCAACCCGGCUAGUAGAAAUACUAGAUCACUGCAUGGUGAGUUAAGUAGCCAUGACAGAGCGAACGAGGGGAACUGAAACAUCUAAGUACCCUCAGGAAGAGAAAUCAAAAGAGAUUCCGUAAGUAGCGGCGAGCGAACAUGGAAUAGCCCAAACCAGUAAGUUUACUUACUGGGGUUGUAGGACCUACAUAAGACUCAAUAACGAUAGAAGAACUGUUUGGGAAGGCAGGCCAAAGAGGGUGAAAGCCCCGUAAUCGAAAUUGUUAGAGAGUUGGUGGGUAUCCUGAGUAGGACGGGACACGUGAAAUCUUGUCUGAAUCUGGGGAGACCACUCUCCAAGGCUAAAUACUCCUUACUGACCGAUAGUGAACAAGUACCGUGAGGGAAAGAUGAAAAGAACCCCGAUAAGGGGAGUGAAAUAGAAUUUGAAACCAUAUACUUACAAACAGUGAGAGAGCUAUUGUAAAGCUUGAUCACGUACCUUUUGCAUUAUGAUUCAGCGAGUUACGAUGUGUAGCAAGGUUAAGCCGUUGCAGGUGUAGCCGUAGGGAAACCGAGUCUUAAUAGGGCGUUUUAGUUGCAUGUCGUAGACCCGAAACGGGAUGAGCUAUCCAUGAGCAGGUUGAAGCGGGGGUAAAACCUCGUGGAGGACCGAACCCAUAUAGGUUGAAAACUGUUGGGAUGACUUGUGGAUAGGGGUGAAAGGCCAAUCAAAUUCCGUGAUAGCUGGUUCUCUCCGAAAUGCAUUUAGGUGCAGCCUUUAGUUGACACUGUCGGGGGUAUAGCACUGAAUUGGCUAGGGGGCUUACCGGCUUACCAAACCAUAUCAAACUCAGAAUACCGAUAAGUGAUGCUAAGGAGUGAGACUAUGGGUGCUAAGGUCCAUAGUCGAAAGGGAAAGAGCCCAGACCAUCAGCUAAGGUCCCUAAAUAAUCGCUAAGUGGGAAAGGUUGUGGGAUUACUUUGACAUCCAGGAGGUUGGCUUAGAAGCAGCCACCCUUUAAAGAAAGCGUAAUAGCUCACUGGACUAGUGAUCCUGCGCCUAAAAUUCAACGGGGCUUAAGUGAUUUACCGAAGCUAUGGAUUGGGAUUUAUCUCAAUGGUAGGAGAGCAUUGUGUAUGCCGAUGAAGAUAUACCGUAAGGAGUAUUGGAGGUAUCACAAGAGCUGAUGCUGAAAUGAGUAACGAUAAGGAACGUGAGAAUCGUUCCCGCCGAAAAUCUAAGGGUUCCUGGGCCAGGUGACUCCGCCCAGGGUUAGUCGGAUCCUAACGCGAGGCCGAAAGGCGUAGUGGAUGGAUAACAGGUUAAUAUUCCUGUACUUAGUAAUUAUCGUUCGACUUGAUGGAGUGACGGAGAAAGGUAGUGAAGCCACACACUGGUUAGUGGUUUAAGCGAGUAGGUGGGAGACUCAGGUAAAUCCGGGUUUCUAUUAACACCGAGACGUGAUGACGAGGGCCUAGCCCGAAGUUCAUGAUCCUAUGCUUCCUAGAAAAGCUUCGUAAGGAGAUGAUUAUUAAUCCGUACCGUAAACCGACACAGGUAGAUGGGAUGAGAAUUCUAAGGCGCUUGGGUAAACUCUAGUUAAGGAACUCUGCAAAUUGGUGCUGUAACUUUGGGAUAAGGCACGCCUUUUUUGGUGAUAGAACUUGCUUCUUGAGCUGAAGAGGGCCGCAGUGAAAAGGGGGUAGCGACUGUUUAUCAAAAACAUAGGUCUAUGCAAACUCGUAAGAGGAAGUAUAUGGACUGACGCCUGCCCGGUGCUCGAAGGUUAAGAGGAGAGGUUAGAGCAAUCGAAGCUUUGAAUCGAAGCCCCAGGUAAACGGCGGCCGUAACUAUAACGGUCCUAAGGUAGCGAAAUUCCUAGUCGGGUAAGUUCCGACCUGCACGAAUGGCGUAACGACUUCCCCACUGUCUCAACUGGAGACCCAGUGAAAUUGGAGUGCGCGUGAAGAUACGCGCUACCCGCGGAAGGACGAAAAGACCCCGUGAACCUUCACUGUAGCUUGGCAUUGGUUUUCGAAACACAUUGCGUAGGAUAGGUGGGAGCUUUUGAUCCGUGCAUUCCGGUGUACGAGGAGGCAACCUUGAAAUACCACCCUUUGUGUUUUGGAAUCCUAACCUACGAUCGUAAUCCGGUCGGGGGACAAUGUCUGGUAGGCAGUUUGACUGGGGCGGUCGCCUCCUAAAGAGUAACGGAGGCGCACAAAGGUUCCCUCAAGCCGAAUGGAAACCGGCUGUAGAGUGUAAACGCAUAAGGGAGCUUGACUGCGAGGCAAACAAGCCGAGCAGGUAGGAAACUAGGUGUUAGUGAUCCGGUGGUUCCGAGUGGAAGGGCCAUCGCUCAACGGAUA